RNAcentral lists this non-coding RNA (40 nucleotides) under Heterosigma akashiwo. Lineage: Eukaryota; Raphidophyceae; Chattonellales; Chattonellaceae. The record is from RNAcentral.
UUUUUUUCUUCUUUCUUCUUUUUUCUUUUUUCUUUCUGUU